AUUGAACGCUGGCGGCAUGCCUUACACAUGCAAGUCGAACGGUAACAGGUCUUCGGAUGCUGACGAGUGGCGCACGGGUGCGUAAUACAUCGGAACGUGCCCAGACGUGGGGGAUAACGAGGCGAAAGCUUUGCUAAUACCGCAUACGACCUCAGGCUGACAGCAGGGGACCGCAAGGCCUUGCGCGUUUGGAGCGGCCGAUGGCAGAUUAGGUAGUUGGUGGGAUAAACGCUUACCAAGCCGACGAUCUGUAGCUGGUCUGAGAGGACGACCAGCCACACUGGGACUGAGACACGGCCCAGACUCCUACGGGAGGCAGCAGUGGGGAAUUUUGGACAAUGGGCGAAAGCCUGAUCCAGCAAUGCCGCGUGCAGGAUGAAGGCCUUCGGGUUGUAAACUGCUUUUGUACGGAACGAAAAGGCUCUGGCUAAUACCUGGGGCACAUGACGGUACCGUAAGAAUAAGCACCGGCUAACUACGUG
RNAcentral lists this ribosomal RNA (482 nucleotides) under uncultured bacterium. Its description in RNAcentral is "partial 16S ribosomal RNA". It matches the Rfam family "Bacterial small subunit ribosomal RNA", at positions 30 to 507 of the family's 1533-position model. The record is from RNAcentral.